CACCAGCGCCACGAGUGGCCAUCGCGAUUAUUGGGCCUAAAGCGUUCGUAGUCGGUUAAGUGCAUCCUCUGUGAAAUUGCAGCGCCUAACGUUGCAGCAUGCGGAGGACACGACUUAACUUGAGACCGGGAGGCGUCGAGGGUAUUCCAAGGGGACCGGUAAAAUGGUAUAAUCCUUGGAGGACCACCUGUGGCGAAGGCGCUCGACGAGAACGGAUCUGACGAUGAGGAACGAAAGCCAGGGGAGCAAACCG
This 253-nucleotide ribosomal RNA is filed under the name uncultured archaeon. RNAcentral describes it as "partial 16S ribosomal RNA". It matches the Rfam family "Archaeal small subunit ribosomal RNA", at positions 474 to 726 of the family's 1478-position model. The record is from RNAcentral.